Non-coding RNA from Pantherophis guttatus, 594 nucleotides. Lineage: Eukaryota; Metazoa; Chordata; Lepidosauria; Squamata; Colubridae. The record is from RefSeq and is a predicted model, not a curated record.
UCCAGUCAAUCAACUUCAACUGUGUGUUCUGGCCCAUCGUUCAAUUUACUCUUCCCGCUAUUAAAUUAAAUAUCUUAACAAAUGUGCAGAAAGCCACAAGGGCUUCCCCCAGAGUUUACCCAGGGAUGAUGGCAGGGGGUGAUCCUAUGAGCUGGAUAUAUAAGCUGGAAAAGAGACCAUUGGUGGCUCAGAAGAUUUCUCCUUCAGAUUGGAUCCCCCUUUGAAGGUUGCUUCUCUCCUUGAUUGGUUUCCAUCCAUUUCUUCUUAUCCUGACCUCAGGUACUUUGGAGAAUCUUCUUUGUGGCACCCCCUCAAAUAUUGGAACACUACUUCUAUUUAUUAAACUAGACCUGCCCAAUUCCUGCAACCGUUCUUGGUGUGUUUUAGCCUCCGGUCCCCUAAUCAUACUGGUUGCUCUUCUCUGCACUCUUUCUUAGAGUUAAGACAUCUUUUUUAACAUCACGCUGACCAAAACUGAAUGCAAUAUUCCCGGUGUGGUCUUAUUAAGGCAUUAUAAAGUGGCACCUAAGAAGAUCAGACAAACAUAUACCAUACAUGAGCCACACCAUCUAUGACCCACAUCUUAAUGGUCAC